Molecule: ribosomal RNA, 131 nt
Filed under: uncultured bacterium
Lineage: Bacteria
Description: partial 16S ribosomal RNA
Rfam family: Bacterial small subunit ribosomal RNA
Source: RNAcentral
GAAACUCUGAUGCAGCAACGCCGCGUGGAGGAUGACGCAUUUCGGUGUGUAAACUCCUUUUAAGAGGGAAGAUWAUGACGGUACCUCUUGAAUAAGCACCGGCUAACUCCGUGCCAGCMGCCGCGGUAAUA